Molecule: ribosomal RNA, 468 nt
Filed under: uncultured bacterium
Lineage: Bacteria
Description: partial 16S ribosomal RNA
Rfam family: Bacterial small subunit ribosomal RNA
Source: RNAcentral
GACGAACGCUGGCGGCGUGCUUAACACAUGCAAGUCGAACGGAAAGGCCCUGCUUUUGUGGGGUGCUCGAGUGGCGAACGGGUGAGUAACACGUGAGUAACCUGCCCUUGACUUUGGGAUAACUUCAGGAAACUGGGGCUAAUACCGGAUAGGAGCUCCUGCUGCAUGGUGGGGGUUGGAAAGUUUCGGCGGUUGGGGAUGGACUCGCGGCUUAUCAGCUUGUUGGUGAGGUAGUGGCUUACCAAGGCUUUGACGGGUAGCCGGCCUGAGAGGGUGACCGGCCACAUUGGGACUGAGAUACGGCCCAGACUCCUACGGGAGGCAGCAGUGGGGAAUAUUGCACAAUGGGCGGAAGCCUGAUGCAGCAACGCCGCGUGCGGGAUGACGGCCUUCGGGUUGUAAACCGCUUUCGCCUGUGACGAAGCGUGAGUGACGGUAAUGGGUAAAGAAGCACCGGCUAACCACGUG